CGGACCCUCCCGCUGGAAGGCCGCGCGGCCCGGUCUGGUCCGCCCGCGGGGCAGGCGCCGGACGCCACUUGGAGAGCACCAGACGCACACCCGGCUGCCGCUUCUCCGGGAGCUUCCUGUUACAGACCCGGUCCUGACACCUUCUCUGCUCUGGCCACUGGAAGAACCACAUUCAGCUUUCCCACCUUGAGAGUGAAAGCCAGAAACUACUCAGCACAAACCCCUCGGUUAACCCUCACAUCCGGUGAGACACACACGAACAAAGAGCAGUCUCUUUUGAAGCCCGGGCUGCCUGGAAGAAACAAACAACAACAAAAAUGAAUAGCUUUCCCAACAAGAAGCCAGAGGCACCGUAAGAAUGUCCUGAAGGAAAGGGACGGAGCAGCAAGGAACUGAAAGCAGAUUGGAAAGCUGCCGGGACUGCUUGUUCUCUUCAGAAGGACAUCAUAUGGGCACCAGGUCUGGGCGCUCUGAGACAAGAGGAUGUCCUUCUCCCUGGGGACCACCGUGGCAGGUAAAGGAGCCCACGGGGCGGAGACGGCAGGCUGAGGCUGAAUGCUGAGGACACUGGGAGCAGUCACCUUAGUAAACGGCAAGCUUGUCUCUGCUGCUGUCACACUUGCCUCUGCUGUUGAAGACGACAUCACUCUAGCCUCUCCCCACAGGGGUAUGGAGGCCCCCCAUCCUUGGGCUGAGCUGGCUAGUGCUCCUGGAAGUGACUAAAAGGCAGAGAGGUUGCUACUCCUGUCCCUCCCAGGACGGAGGCUGCCGUCCUCUGGAACAGGUGCUUCAAACCACCAGGCACGCUGGGCUUUGUCCCCCACUGCUUCUCCCCGGGCAGACAUCUGGUGAGGACACUGCCUGGAAAGAAGGUAGAGGCUUCAGUCUCUGGGGGAGACGAAGCCUCAGAGAGGCUCACCUGAGGAAGAGGAUGGGCGUGCUCCCGGGGGAGGCAGCACAACACCUCCCUGAUGGUGAUGAGGAGGUGACCCUCUGCUUUGCUGUAACCACCCACAGUAUAAAGACAGAAAAGGUAACGUGGGAGGGCCAAGGAGGGACCAGCUGCCCUACACACA
Molecule: long non-coding RNA, 1076 nt
Organism: Neofelis nebulosa (Clouded leopard)
Lineage: Eukaryota; Metazoa; Chordata; Mammalia; Carnivora; Felidae
Exons: 4
Source: RefSeq, a predicted model, not a curated record